UGAGGAAUCUUGCGCAAUGGGGGGAAACCCUGACGCAGCAACGCCGCGUGAGUGAAGAAGGCUCUCGGGUCGUAAAGCUCUGUCAAGUGGGAAGAACCUGUCCUAUGUUAAUAAC
Molecule: ribosomal RNA, 115 nt
Filed under: uncultured bacterium
Lineage: Bacteria
Description: partial 16S ribosomal RNA
Rfam family: Bacterial small subunit ribosomal RNA
Source: RNAcentral